AUUAUUUACGCAGUAAUUUAUUAUUUUCUAAUAUUUUUACAAAAUUACAAUGUCGUGUGAUUAUUAUUUUAUGCAAUGGAAAGAAACCCUAAGGAAUUUGAAGAGUUUAGUUCUACUUGAUCAUGAAUAUCAGAUAACCAAAGCCAAAGACAAGAAACUGUGUGAUGCGGUCAUACGGUUAUGUGGUAUGCUCGGAGAAUACAUAGUGAUCUACAAUGAAGCGCUGGACUGCUUGCAGCACAAUCUACAAGUCCAGAAGACACCGUACCUGCUUGAAAUAGUGAGAGCUGUUAUUAACAGAAUCCUAGAACUGAAACACGAGCUAAAGAAACUGGAAUGCACCAACGUACAGUUCCUAAAUCAUGGGUUAGCUAAUCAUAAGUUGACCACUUACAACGUUGAGCUAGACGAUGUCCUAAUGCAUAUGGAACGACCGAAUAGUGUGAAAACAACUAUCACUGAA
Long non-coding RNA from Ostrinia nubilalis (European corn borer), 463 nucleotides. RefSeq lists it as uncharacterized. The record is from RefSeq and is a predicted model, not a curated record. NCBI's taxonomy places the organism in Eukaryota, Metazoa, Arthropoda, Insecta, Lepidoptera, Crambidae. The transcript is spliced from 3 exons.